AUGUUCUACUGCUCUGUAGGUCGUGCUUUUGCUGGAGGUUUAGAGGUGCUCUUGAUCGAGUGUCUCUGAGCGCCAGCAGGUUUACUUUUGAAAAAAUUAGAGUGCUCAAAGCAGGCUAUUCCGCCUGAAUAUUCGUGCAUGGAAUAAUAGAAUAGGAUGUCGAUCCUAUUUUGUUGGUUUUCGGGACUCGACAUAAUGAUUAAUAGGGACAGUCGGGGGCAUUUGUAUUCAAACGACAGAGGUGAAAUUCUUGGACCGUUUGAAGACAAACUACUGCGAAAGCAUUUGCCAAGAAUGUUUUCAUUAAUCAAGAACGAAAGUUAGAGGUUCGAAGGCGAUUAGAUACCGCCCUAGUUCUAACCAUAAACGAUGCCAGCUAGCGAUCUGCCGGCGUUAAUACUGUAGACUCGGCAGGAAGCUUCCGGGAAACCAAAGCAUUUGGGUUCCAGGGGAAGUAUGGUUGCAAAGCUGAAACUUAAAGGAAUUGCCGGAAGGGCACCACCAGGAGU
This 509-nucleotide ribosomal RNA is filed under the name uncultured eukaryote. RNAcentral describes it as "SSU rRNA". It matches the Rfam family "Eukaryotic small subunit ribosomal RNA", at positions 670 to 1177 of the family's 1831-position model. The record is from RNAcentral.